This 2776-nucleotide long non-coding RNA is filed under the name Homo sapiens (human). RNAcentral's name for it is "HSALNT0070968". The record is from RNAcentral. Lineage: Eukaryota; Metazoa; Chordata; Mammalia; Primates; Hominidae.
UUUUCUAAAAUUACCCUGUACUUUAUGAAUAAAAUAAGCAUCUUGAGAAAAAGAGUUUUUCCUUGAAUAUUGUGGUGAGCCUUAAUGCCAUACAACGUUUCUCCUUACGAGAGCAACAAAGAAAAACAAAUAUACAGACGAGAAGGCGAUGUGGAGACAAAGAGAGAAAUUAGAGUAAUGCAACUGCAAGCCCAGGACUGCGGAGACAGCCACCAGAAGCUGGAAGCGAUAAGGAAUAGAUUCUCCCCUAGAGUCCCUGGAGAGAACAUGGCCUUGCCAACACCUUGAUUUUAACCAUUGUGGUGAUAUUGAUUAGGACUUCUGGCCUCUGGAACUACAAGAGAAUAUAUUUCUUCACCAAGUUUGUUGUAAUUUGUUACAGCAGUCAUAGGAAAUGAAUACACUGAGUAUAAUGCAGGAAAUAUGCAAGCAGACAGAACCACCGGAAGUGAGGAAUAUGUGCCUGGAGAUUGCAAUUGACAGUAAGGGUCAGGAACAUCCCCAUUGGAGGGGCAGCUUUGCCUUCCCUUCAUAUCUCAAUAUGCUGCGUGUUAACAUGGCUGCUCUGACUCCAUCCAUUUACCUCAAAAUCCUCACUUCUGCUUUUGGUGUACUUCUCAUCCUGCCCUUGUUUUCCGGAUCUCCUGGGCCCUUUCCAGAGCUUGGACUUCCCAGCCUCCAGAAUCAUGAGUGAAUACAUUUCUAUUCAUAAAAGGUUACAAGUGUGCCUGCUCUCCUGCCUCUUCUUUCAGCGCCUCCACCUCUCCUGCCUCUGACACUCCUGAGACAGCAAGACCAACCCCUUCUCUUCCUCCUCCUCUUCAGUUUACAGAAGAUGAAGACAAGAAGGAUGAAGACCUUUAUGAUGAUCCACUUCUAUUUAAUAAGUAGUAAAUACAUUUUAUCUUGUGAUUUUUCUUUAUAACAUUUUCUUUUCUUUAGCUUUAUUUAUUGUAAAAAUAAAGUUUAUAACACAUAUAAUAUAAAAAAUAUAUGUUAAUUGACUGUUUAAGUUUUCAGUAUGGCUUCCCGUCAACACUAGGCUAUGAUUAGUUACGUUUUUAAGGAGUCAAAAGUUAUACUCACAUUUUCAACUGUGCAGGGGGUUGGCACUCCUAAUGCUUUGCAUUAUUCAAGAGUCAACUGUAUUUCCUUUAAGGUAAUUAACCAUAUUUCAACAUGGUUAGUCAUAUUAGCUAUUCUUCUUUUUGAUUUUUAGUACAUUAAUUGUAAAGAUAUUCACUUACACAUCAUAGCUGCUCAGUGAAUGGUUGAAUGACUUAAGGAAUCAUUGCAUGAAUUAAAGAUGGCCAAUAUAUCUUCUUGUGAACUUUGUUGGAUCAAAGUUGAAGAUUAUAAUUGCUGAUGUUUUAACAUUCUCAAAAAUCUUGUGAGAAUUAAAACAGCAUUGUUAUAAAUUUUUAUUUCAAAUGCUCUUUUAACAAAUGUGUUCCCUCUGAUUCCUAAAACCACCAUGCUGGGAACAAGAGUAAAUUUUACUUUUCCUAGUUUAUAGGUAAGGUAAUUAAAGCUUCUUGGAAAAGUUCCUUGACAGAGUCAAAGGCUAAAACCUGGACAGACUUAUCUAUAUAGAGCAUUCCUCACUUCCAGUUUUGCUGUUAUUCACCAAACCAUGAUUAUUUCGUGCAAUGGAAACAUUGAACUGUACAAUACUCUUAAAUUUCACUUAUUCUGAAAGGCAUUUACUCAUCCCAGCAUUCCCUAAAUUCAAAGGAGAACUUGAAUAACAACCUGGAAGACUCAACUACCUGACCGUUCCAGAGUUGACAAUGAUUUGGCUGGCUUUCAGCAGACACUUCUCUUUAAGUGUUACUUCACUGAACAAGACACUAUAUGAUAAUGCUAUUUCACUGACCUUCCCCUGCUUCCUACCACAGGUUUAAAUUAUCUGCAAUUUUUGUGAAAACAGUGCAAACCCCUGUGGAUAAGAGCUGAAAAGGAAUAUCAUUUAAUGAAAACCAGUGAUAACUUGAGGAAAAUUGGUUAAGAAAAGUCCAAAGUUUUCAACUUAAUUACUUAAAUGGAAGAAUGAAAAUGUUUUCAGAUAUUUUUUGUUUUGAUGUGAAUAAAUAAAUCAAUUUAAAAUUUAAGUUUUAACAAGUAAAUGGUUAUACCAUCCUAUAUCCUGUUUAAUAUGUUAUUUUUAUGCCGAAGUUCAGCUUAAGUAUCAUGUAGAGCUAUCAAUACUGGUGAUCUAAAGUUUACCUUUCAGCCGGGUGCAGUAGCUCAUGCUUGUAAUCCCAGCACUCUGGGAGGCUGAGGCAGGAGGAUCAUUUGAGGCCAGGAGACUAGCCUGGGCCACAUAGUGACACUCCAUCUCUAAAAAACAAAACAAAACAAAAUAAAAUAAAAUAAAUAAAAUAAAAUACAGAGAGAACUCAGAUCUACAUCAAAAAGGAAGAGUACUUGAAAAGAAAUGAAGGUAAAAUAAAAUUUAAAAAAAUUUAAAAUAACAUUUACCUUUUACUGACUUUGAUUUAGGAGAAGAUUAUAGUUCUUCAUUAGCAAUUGUAAGACAGAGGCAAUAGUCUAUGUUGGUGAGGGAAACAUAAAAUUUUGUUUUUUACUCUGAAGAUUAUUAUGGGAUUCUCUUUCUCACCUUGCCUCAUAUUUUCUCUGCCUGUCUCCAUCUCUCUCUCUCUCUCUCUCUCAAAUGCAGUAUUCCUGUUAAUUGUGAAGUAUCUACAGAUACAUAUUCUCUCUAGGCACACAUCUGUAAAUAUAAUUUAUUUGUUAUACAAAGAAACACAUCUCC